This 484-nucleotide ribosomal RNA is filed under the name uncultured bacterium. Its description in RNAcentral is "partial 16S ribosomal RNA". It matches the Rfam family "Bacterial small subunit ribosomal RNA", at positions 30 to 507 of the family's 1533-position model. The record is from RNAcentral.
AUUGAACGCUGGCGGCAUGCCUUACACAUGCAAGUCGAACGGCAGCACGGACUUCGGUCUGGUGGCGAGUGGCGAACGGGUGAGUAAUGUAUCGGAACGUACCUUUCAGUGGGGGAUAACGUAGCGAAAGUUACGCUAAUACCGCAUAUUCUGUGAGCAGGAAAGCAGGGGAUCGAAAGACCUUGCGCUGAUUGAGCGGCCGAUAUCAGAUUAGCUAGUUGGUGGGGUAAAGGCCUACCAAGGCGACGAUCUGUAGCGGGUCUGAGAGGAUGAUCCGCCACACUGGAACUGAGACACGGUCCAGACUCCUACGGGAGGCAGCAGUGGGGAAUUUUGGACAAUGGGGGCAACCCUGAUCCAGCCAUGCCGCGUGAGUGAAGAAGGCCUUCGGGUUGUAAAGCUCUUUCGGCCGGGAAGAAAUCGCAUAGGCUAAUACCCUGUGUGGAUGGCGGUACCGGAAUAAGAAGCACCGGCUAACUACGUG